Non-coding RNA from Pelobates cultripes (western spadefoot toad), 263 nucleotides. The record is from the annotation of a GenBank genome assembly. Lineage: Eukaryota; Metazoa; Chordata; Amphibia; Anura; Pelobatidae.
CACAAUUCCACAAGCAGCCCUCAUACGCAGCCCACAUUCAUAUGUAUCAUACACGAUACCAUAAACUACUCAUGAACAUAUACAAUAUAAUAGCUCAUAUACGCACAAAUACAUUGAUACAAAGCAAUUACAGUAAAAAUAACACAAGCAGAAUACGGCAGCAUACACACCUCAAUUUAAAAAAAAUAGGACCGGCACGCUACGGGACAUCACAAUCCUAUAUCGGCACAGUGCUGCUAAAAUGUUGCCUACCCCUGCACUAG